Molecule: ribosomal RNA, 700 nt
Filed under: Bacillus sp. DS-7PS-1
Lineage: Bacteria; Bacillati; Bacillota; Bacilli; Caryophanales; Bacillaceae
Description: bacterial SSU rRNA
Rfam family: Bacterial small subunit ribosomal RNA
Source: RNAcentral
UUGCUUUUUAAGUUAGCGGCGGACGGGUGAGUAACACGUGGGCAACCUGCCUGUAAGACUGGGAUAACUUCGGGAAACCGGAGCUAAUACCGGAUAAUCCUUUUCUACUCAUGUAGAAAAGCUGAAAGACGGUUUACGCUGUCACUUACAGAUGGGCCCGCGGCGCAUUAGCUAGUUGGUGAGGUAACGGCUCACCAAGGCGACGAUGCGUAGCCGACCUGAGAGGGUGAUCGGCCACACUGGGACUGAGACACGGCCCAGACUCAUACGGGAGGCAGCAGUAGGGAAUCUUCCGCAAUGGACGAAAGUCUGACGGAGCAACGCCGCGUGAGUGAUGAAGGUUUUCGGAUCGUAAAACUCUGUUGUUAGGGAAGAACAAGUACGAGAGUAACUGCUCGUACCUUGACGGUACCUAACCAGAAAGCCACGGCUAACUACGUGCCAGCAGCCGCGGUAAUACGUAGGUGGCAAGCGUUGUCCGGAAUUAUUGGGCGUAAAGCGCGCGCAGGCGGUCCUUUAAGUCUGAUGUGAAAGCCCACGGCUCAACCGUGGAGGGUCAUUGGAAACUGGGGGACUUGAGUGCAGAAGAGAAGAGUGGAAUUCCACGUGUAGCGGUGAAAUGCGUAGAGAUGUGGAGGAACACCAGUGGCGAAGGCGACUCUUUGGUCUGUAACUGACGCUGAGGCGCGAAAGCGUGGGG